ACAUAUUUCUCUUUUCCAAUUCAUUUCAAGUCUUUGAUUAUUGGAUAUGAAAUCUUUUUCUCUUUCCCCAAAUUCAACAAUGGAGCGGUCUGAUUCUCUUUUGACUGGAGCAUCAUCAAGAUCUUGCAAAUAUGUCCUAACCACACUUAUGCAGAAGAUUCUUAAAUUUUAUGAGUCUGAUACUAUGGAAAGGCUUCGAAUUUCCUUUGGAAUGAAGUUCUACGUCUGCUGUAAAAGCAUCUACAAGAUGGCCAAAUCUUGCCUCUACAACAGGCAACACACAUGUUUUGUGAUACUGGAAGGCUCGGAUGUCUAAAUUUUAUGAGGCUGAACAGAACUUUAGGCCAUUGAUUACUAUGGAAAAGGCAGUGGAUUUCCUCUGGAAUGAAGAAGCACUACUUCUGCUUGUUAUACAAUUAUUGGAUAUGAAAUCUCUUUCUCUUUCCCCAAAUUCAACAAUGGAGGGGUCUGAUUCACAAUAACAGGGCUGGUAAUGCCAUAAAUACAAGAGUUCUUGCCUCUGAAAAUGCGUUGGCAGACCGAAGGAACGGGAGAGUCAUAAGUGGGGGAAGCCAAAACUUUUGACUUCAGUUUGACUGGAGCAUCGUCAAGAUCUUGCAAAUAUGUCAUAAAUACAAUUAUGCAGAAGAUUCCUAGAUUUUAUGAGUCUGAUACUAUGGAAAGGCUUUGAAUUUCCUUUGGAAUGAAGUACUAUGUCUGCUGUAAAAGCAUCUACAAGAUAUGCCAAAUCUUGCCUCUACAACAGGCAACACACAUGUUUUGUGAUACUGAAAGGCUUGGAUGUCUAAAUUUUAUGAGACUGAACAGAACUUUAGGCCAUUGAUUGCUAUGGAAAAGGCAGUGGAUUUCCUCUGGAAUGAAGAAGCACUACUUCUGCUUGCUAAACAGUAAGCAUACUUGCUAUGAUGAUGUUAAAGUUAUUCAUAUACAUUGGUGCCUUUUUAACGUUCUGGGAAUUAUCGUUUUGUAUGCAUCCAAACAGAACAUUUUUCCAUUUGGCUCAAAUCAUAAUUUACAUUUAAUUUGUCUGGCACUUAGGCUUGUUUUCCAAAGAAAUGAUUACUACUGCCAACCAAUGCAAGUAUAAAGUUGCAAAAGUUUAUGCUUGAACCUUUGAAAAGGCACAUUGUAUUAAAUUUAUUUAAUAGUGGAUUAAACUCCUUAGCUUGCUAAAGGAGAGGAUGUAGGCACCUAGAGAAAGGGCCGAACCUCUAUAAAUAGUGUGUGAAAUUUUCUCUUUACUCUUCACCAUUAAUUUAUAUCUUCGAUGUGGUUAAUCACAAUUUAAUAGAAG
This 1315-nucleotide small RNA is filed under the name Theobroma cacao (cacao). RNAcentral's name for it is "sRNA Tc05v2_g001400". Lineage: Eukaryota; Viridiplantae; Streptophyta; Magnoliopsida; Malvales; Malvaceae. The record is from RNAcentral.